The sequence is a non-coding RNA, 251 nucleotides long. The stretch from base 1 to 189 matches the Rfam family "Proteobacterial sRNA psRNA2".
GGGUGACUCCUUGGCGCUUGCGCGCUGUUUUGAUGAAGAUUCGCACCUCUAUCAAAACGGGUAACCCCACCUCUUGGCAAGGCCUUACUGUCAGAUCGGGUCGCGACUUCUACAAAUUAUAGUAUCCCUCAGCGAAUACCAGAACGCUCUCGCACGGGGAGCCGGGGCUCUCCUCGGCCUGCGGAGCAUAGAGACUCACGCCAACGGCAUGAGCAAUCACCAUAUCAACGUAGUGCUCUAGUUUUUCGUCU